This 383-nucleotide ribosomal RNA is filed under the name uncultured eukaryote. Its description in RNAcentral is "partial 18S ribosomal RNA". It matches the Rfam family "Eukaryotic small subunit ribosomal RNA", at positions 592 to 976 of the family's 1831-position model. The record is from RNAcentral.
CAAUAGCGUAUAUUAAAGUUGUUGCAGUUAAAAAGCUCGUAGUUGGAUUUCUGGUGGGAGCGAUCGGUCUGGCGCUUAGCGCGAGUACUUGCAUCGUCUCCGGCCAUCCUUGGGGAGAGUCUGUCUGGCAUUAGGUUGUCGGGCAGAGGAUCCUCAUCGUUUACUGUGAAAAAAUUAGAGUGUUCAAAGCAGGCUUAUGCCGUUGAAUAUAUUAGCAUGGAAUAAUAAGAUAGGACUUUGGUACUAUUUUGUUGGUUUGCGCACCAACGUAAUGAUUAAUAGGGACAGUUGGGGGUAUUCGUAUUCCGUUGUCAGAGGUGAAAUUCUUGGAUUUACGGAAGACGAACUACUGCGAAAGCAUUUACCAAGGAUGUUUUCAUUAA